ACUCCUACGGGAGGCAGCAGUGGGGAAUAUUGCACAAUGGGCGCAAGCCUGAUGCAGCCAUGCCGCGUGUAUGAAGAAGGCCUUCGGGUUGUAAAGUACUUUCAGCAGUGAGGAAGGUGGGUAUGUUAAUAGCAUACUCAUUUGACGUUAGCUGCAGAAGAAGCACCGGCUAACUCCGUGCCAGCAGCCGCGGUAAUACGGAGGGUGCGAGCGUUAAUCGGAAUUACUGGGCGUAAAGCGCAUGCAGGUGGUUUGUUAAGUCAGAUGUGAAAGCCCGGGGCUCAACCUCGGAAUUGCAUUUGAAACUGGCAAACUAGAGUACUGUAGAGGGGGGUAGAAUUUCAGGUGUAGCGGUGAAAUGCGUAGAGAUCUGAAGGAAUACCGGUGGCGAAGGCGGCCCCCUGGACAGAUACUGACACUCAGAUGCGAAAGCGUGGGGAGCAAACAGGAUUAGAUACCCUCGUAGGCUCUGC
Molecule: ribosomal RNA, 473 nt
Filed under: uncultured bacterium
Lineage: Bacteria
Description: bacterial SSU rRNA
Rfam family: Bacterial small subunit ribosomal RNA
Source: RNAcentral